This 301-nucleotide ribosomal RNA is filed under the name uncultured bacterium. RNAcentral's name for it is "partial 16S ribosomal RNA". It matches the Rfam family "Bacterial small subunit ribosomal RNA", at positions 509 to 809 of the family's 1533-position model. The record is from RNAcentral.
CAGUCGCCACGGGAAUACGGAGGGGGCUAGCGUUGUUCGGAAUUACUGGGCGUAAAGCGCACGUAGGCGGCUUGGUAAGUUAGAGGUGAAAGCCUGGAGCUCAACUCCGGAAUUGCCUUUAAGACUGCCGAGCUAGCAGGUGAGAGAGGUAAGUGGAAUUCCGAGUGUAGAGGUGAAAUUCGUAGAUAUUCGGAAGAACACCAGUGGCGAAGGCGGCUUACUGGCUCAUACUGGACGCUGAGGUGCGAAAGCGUGGGGAGCAAACAGGAUUAGAUACCCCUGUAGUCCCUGUCUCUUAUAA